GGGCCGUGCCGGCGUCGCAGUCUCCGCACGACCCGACGCACUUCCUCCCGCCCUAAGGACGCCGUAGCCGGUUGGGUAGCUGCGCGAGUCGGCCAUAAGGACGGGCACCGGAAGGUGGCCAGUGGCGUUCCCCCGUGUUCGUCGCUGGUCGUUAUCCAGCCCGCCCGUGGCACGACACCCGACCGAGGUCGCAGGUCCCGGUUAGGACCUCGCCGUCCCCUCCCCUCUGGUCGAGCAGGAACGCCAGCAGGCGCCUCCCCGUUCGGUGGUUCCACUCUCCGAGUGGACCGUUGUCCGGGGACGCCGUUGGCGCGGACGUUUCCUGCGUGGGGUUUUUUUUUCCGGCGGCUUACGGCGAGUAGGUCGGUCACCCACCCGACCCGUCUUGAAACACGGACCAAGGAGUCUAACAUGUGCGCGAGUCAUUGGGUCUUGUUCAGGCCCAGAGGCGCAAUGAAAGUGAAGGCCGUCCUCGACGUCGGCCGAGUUGGGACUCUCC
Molecule: ribosomal RNA, 499 nt
Filed under: Megaphobema mesomelas
Lineage: Eukaryota; Metazoa; Arthropoda; Arachnida; Araneae; Theraphosidae
Description: eukaryotic LSU rRNA
Source: RNAcentral